This 466-nucleotide ribosomal RNA is filed under the name uncultured bacterium. RNAcentral describes it as "partial 16S ribosomal RNA". It matches the Rfam family "Bacterial small subunit ribosomal RNA", at positions 28 to 507 of the family's 1533-position model. The record is from RNAcentral.
GAUGAACGCUGGCGGCGUGCUUAACACAUGCAAGUCGAACGAUGAAGCUCAGCUUGCUGGGUGGAUUAGUGGCGAACGGGUGAGUAACACGUGAGUAACCUGCCCUUAACUCUGGGAUAAGCCUGGGAAACUAGGUCUAAUACCGGAUAGGAGCGUCCACCGCAUGGUGGGUGUUGGAAAGAUUUAUCGGUUUUGGAUGGACUCGCGGCCUAUCAGCUUGUUGGUGAGGUAAUGGCUCACCAAGGCGACGACGGGUAGCCGGCCUGAGAGGGUGACCGGCCACACUGGGACUGAGACACGGCCCUGACUCCUACGGGAGGCAGCAGUGGGGAAUAUUGCACAAUGGGCGAAAGCCUGAUGCAGCGACGCCGCGUGAGGGAUGACGGCCUUCGGGUUGUAAACCUCUUUCAGUAGGGAAGAAGCGAAAGUGACGGUACCUGCAGAAGAAGCACCGGCUAACUACGUG